This 484-nucleotide ribosomal RNA is filed under the name uncultured bacterium. Its description in RNAcentral is "partial 16S ribosomal RNA". It matches the Rfam family "Bacterial small subunit ribosomal RNA", at positions 30 to 507 of the family's 1533-position model. The record is from RNAcentral.
AUUGAACGCUGGCGGCAGGCCUAACACAUGCAAGUCGAGCGGAUGAAGGGAGCUUGCUCCUGGAUUCAGCGGCGGACGGGUGAGUAAUGCCUAGGAAUCUGCCUGGUAGUGGGGGAUAACGUCCGGAAACGGGCGCUAAUACCGCAUACGUCCUGAGGGAGAAAGUGGGGGAUCUUCGGACCUCACGCUAUCAAAUGAGCCUAGGUCGGAUUAGCUAGUUGGUGGGGUAAAGGCCUACCAAGGCGACGAUCCGUAACUGGUCUGAGAGGAUGAUCAGUCACACUGGAACUGAGACACGGUCCAGACUCCUACGGGAGGCAGCAGUGGGGAAUAUUGGACAAUGGGCGAAAGCCUGAUCAAGACAUGCCGCGUGUGUGAAGAAGGUCUUCGGAUUGUAAAGCACUUUAAGUUGGGAGGAAGGGCAGUAAGUUAAUACCUUGCUGUUUUGACGUUACCAACAGAAUAAGCACCGGCUAACUUCGUG